GGGCAUGGUGGCGCAUGCCUUUAAUUCCAGCACUCAGGAGGCAGAGGUCACCAGAAUCACUGGCCCAUGUUUUAAAGCAAAGACACCUUUCAGAGUUAAGAAGCUAAGGGGAAUGUGGGUGAAAAUAAUCUGCUGGAGACGUCAGGACCAUAUUCUGAAAGACAUUCUGAUGUGUUAUGGGAAAGAACAAGAAAAAAGAUCUGUUUUAUGUUGAACCGUGAGAUGCCACUCUCAAGAGAAGCAGAUGUAGAGGACCAGGCAUAAAUGCCAGGAAGACUAUUAGCCUGUCCCAUGUAAGCCCAAUAAAGUGCUGUCCAUUCAGA
Molecule: long non-coding RNA, 323 nt
Organism: Peromyscus eremicus (cactus mouse)
Lineage: Eukaryota; Metazoa; Chordata; Mammalia; Rodentia; Cricetidae
Exons: 2
Source: RefSeq, a predicted model, not a curated record